AUUGGGCUGCCAUAAUAUAACAAGGCUUGAGAGAACCCAAGCCCGCAUUCUAGAAUUCUCUACACUUCUCCACACUACUCCACACAAGGAGAUAUUUUGUGUAGUGUCUACAUUAUUCUAGAACUCUCUAUGUAAUCUAGACCAUUGAUUCGUGUAGGCUAAAUCAUAACCGUCCAUUGAGGAGGUGGAAGUGGCUAUAAAUACCACCCCUCACUUCAUUUGUAAAUCAACCAAGAAAACCAAGCUUAGCCAAGCAAUUCAUGUAAUACAAAGCAUUUGGGUAGUAAGAGUUCUACAACAAAGCUCUCUUGUGUUCUCUUCUCUACUUAGUUCUCAUUUCCGCUGCAUUACAAUCCCAAAGGCUUACUUAGCUCGUCCUAGCAACCAAAGGCGACUAAGUGCCGCACGGAUAGGCAUAGCAAAAUCCUAUCUCCGUGACAGGUGGUAUCAGAGCAGGUUCCGUCCUAGGUCCCAAGCCCUUUGCCUUGAUCAAUGGCAAACGAUAAAGCUCAAUUGGUUGUUGCGGAGGAACAACAACCUGAGCAGCCAGAGGCAGUACGAGGCCGUGAGCCGGUGCGCACUCGAUCUAAGAGGGGGAAGUCUAAGGCACGAACCUCACCCGUGGAUCAUGUGGAGCAAAGAUUUGCAGCUCUUGAGCAAGCUGUGUCUUCUCAAGAAGCUUUUGUGGGAGAACUCUCCGAACAAAUCGACAAUGUUGUUCAGGAGAAUGGAGAGAUCAUUCGAGCUGCCAAAUGCAUGAUCACCGAGCUUGGUAGAUCCCUACGAGAGGAGCUUCAAACCCUUGCUGGUAGGAUAAAUGAGGUACGUACAUUCACUGAAUCUGAACUUAGUGCCUUACGUGGUGAAGUAGAUGCUAUCCGUUCUGAAUGCCGGAUGCACCAAAGAAUGAGUAGUCCUGCGUCGACUAGUGCUACCACAAGUCAUGUAGCACAUGGUUUGAAAGUACCCAAGCCUGCGACGUAUGAUGGAACGCGCAGUGCCUCCAUGGUGGAAAACUUUCUCUUUGGCCUUGACCAGUACUUUGAGGCCAUGGGGGUAAAUGAUGAUGCCGCUAAGAUUGGCAAUGCCCCCACAUUCCUUCGGGAUGCUGCUCAGUUAUGGUGGCGAAGGAAGCAUGCGGAGCGAGAAAAAGGCACUUGCAACAUCCAUACAUGGGAGCAAUUCAAGUCCGAAUUGCGAAAGCACUUCGUGCCUCAUAAUGCGGAUACUGAAGCAAGGGGUAAACUACGUCGUCUACAACAAAGAGGUAGCCUUUCCGAUUACAUUAAGGAGUUCACCACUCUUAUGUUGGAAAUUGACGACUUGUCCGACAAAGAUGCUCUCUUCUUCUUCAAAGAUGGGUUAAGAGAGUGGGCGAAGGUGGAGCUAGAGCGGCGUAGCGUGCAAACACUUGAUGAUGCUAUUGCCGUAGCUGAAACUCUAACAGACUACUCCACCCGAGUUGAGAACAACAAGCCCAUUCCUAGCAAGAGUGGGGGAGAGAGUGAAGACGAGGAGAAGGACCAUCAUCGCAGGGAAGAUGGUUCGCCCAAAGCUCUCGAGGGAAGACAUGAUAAGCAGUUUAGGAAGCAUAAUUUCAGACCUAAACCUUGCUUCCUAUGUGGAGGGCCGCAUUGGACAAGAGAUUGCCCCGAUAAGGAGAAAAUAAAUACGAUGCGUGACAUCUAUAAAAAGGCAGUGAAUGCCAUGGUCACUGAGUGCAAUAAGGAGAAACAGGCGACAGAGGAACACAAAGCCCAGAUGGGUUCCCUACGAUAUUUGGGCGCAAUAUCUCUUCGCACUCCCAAGGAGGAGGAAGUGACAAAUCAUGAGCAAUCCUCGCCAAAGUCUGCCGAAACGAUGGAGGAUAAGUCCAAAGACAUCACACCUCCACAGUCACCAAAAACACCUCCUAAAAAGGAAGUUAAUCACCAGGUUGAGCUGGAGCCAAGUGCUAAGCUGCCAGCCAAAUCCUUUCCUCGAAAGUCACCUCCAAAGACGGGAGAACUAAGGAAGGCCCCAAAAUUGGGAGAACAAAAGAAGGCCGAUGUUGCCACUGACACAUCAAGUCAUAAGGCGAAGCUAGCCAACACCAGUGCUAACGCCUCACAAAACAACCCACGGGAUGACACCCGUAAACCUCACAAGCGUGUGAGAGAAUGGCAUAAGGAAGCAGACGAGAUUCUUGCUUGUCUCAAUAAGGCUGUUCGGUUUAUAAAGAAAUGGGCCAAGAGGCGACCGAAGAAGUACGCCAAAGGAGACAAGGUACUCGUCAAACUUUGCCCUAAUCAGCUCAAGUCCUUACAAAAAGAUCAAAAAGGGCCAGUGAAGAAGUACGAGGGACCAUUCCCUAUCAUCAAACGAGUAGGGAAGGCUGCAUAUCAAGUCCAACUGCCUACCGAGUGGAAGAUUCAUAAUGUCUUCCAUGCUAGUAUGUUAAAACCUUAUCAUGCAGAUGGCAAAGAUCCAAGAAAGGGCGAGACCACUAAAGCGCCAGUUGUUGUUACUAAAGCAAAUAAGGAGGUUGACAGCAUCCUCAACUCACGAGAAGUAUGGCGACGCGGAGUGCCGAGCUAUCGCGAGUACUUGGUCAAGUGGAAGAACUUGCCCGAAUCUGAAGCUANNNNNNNNNNNNNNNNNNNNNNNNNNNNNNNNNNNNNNNUGUUACGCCCCGCACUGCAAGCUGCGCAAGAAUGCAAGGCAACCUAGCAAUUUAUAGGCAAGGCAUUAGAGAGGUGCCAAUUGGGCUGCCAUAAUAUAACAAGGCUUGAGAGAACCCAAGCCCGCAUUCUAGAAUUCUCUACACUUCUCCACACUACUCCACACAAGGAGAUAUUUUGUGUAGUGUCUACAUUAUUCUAGAACUCUCUAUGUAAUCUAGACCAUUGAUUCGUGUAGGCUAAAUCAUAACCGUCCAUUGAGGAGGUGGAAGUGGCUAUAAAUACCACCCCUCACUUCAUUUGUAAAUCAACCAAGAAAACCAAGCUUAGCCAAGCAAUUCAUGUAAUACAAAGCAUUUGGGUAGUAAGAGUUCUACAACAAAGCUCUCUUGUGUUCUCUUCUCUACUUAGUUCUCAUUUCCGCUGCAUUACAAUCCCAAAGGCUUACUUAGCUCGUCCUAGCAACCAAAGGCGACUAAGUGCCGCACGGAUAGGCAUAGCAAAAUCCUAUCUCCGUGAC
RNAcentral lists this long non-coding RNA (3180 nucleotides) under Jatropha curcas. Its description in RNAcentral is "long non-coding RNA (JCUR_LNC000043)". Lineage: Eukaryota; Viridiplantae; Streptophyta; Magnoliopsida; Malpighiales; Euphorbiaceae. The record is from RNAcentral.